Molecule: long non-coding RNA, 9906 nt
Filed under: Citrus maxima (pomelo)
Lineage: Eukaryota; Viridiplantae; Streptophyta; Magnoliopsida; Sapindales; Rutaceae
Description: long non-coding RNA (CMAX_LNC002265)
Rfam family: Plant small nucleolar RNA R71 (bases 5350-5456)
Source: RNAcentral
CACAAGUGAAACUCCACUUUAUUGAACGAUGGGGUCUCAAAUGGGCUGCCUCUUUGCCACUCUUUUGGUAGUAUCAGUCUCUCUUAGCUACUUGCCGUUAGAAGCCUCCGCAAACAAAUACUACUACACAUCUCCUCCCCCUCCCAAGUACAAGUCUCCACCACCACCCCCGCCACCGGUUCACAAUUCUCCACCACCACCCCCGGUUUACCUGCCCCCGCCACCUCCUCCACCAGUCUACGUGCCUGCUCCGGCACCAACUCCAAUUUUCCCUUCUCCGCCACCUCCUGUCCCCAAGUCCCCACCACCACCUCACCCUUACGUCUAUGCAUCUCCCCCUCCUCCUUACUACUACUAGAAAGCGGCCAUGAAUAGCUCAUGCUUUUAUGGUAAUCUCAUUUAUUUUUAAAACUGUACAUGUAAAGACUAGUAGUUCAGAAUUACAUUAAGCAUUUCAAUUUUAAGCACCGUGUUCUGUUUAAUUGCGUUCCUAUUGAUUAAGUGACAAAUAAAAGAGAUUGAUUAAUUUGUUCUUGUAGGAGAGGCGAAUGGUAUCCGAAUAAAGAAAGCAAGGGUUUGAUGGAAGGCUUACUUGGAGCAAGAUAGCGAUCAAUCGAGUUGCUGCGUUUUAUUCUCUUUUAUCUUUGUUUUUUAAGAAAAAUAAACUGCCACACGUAGAAACAGAAAAUUAAGUUCUUGUCAUUUUCAUGCAUAUGGAUUGUUGCUGUGUGUGUCAAUCAAAUCUCCGUUGUGUCAUUUGUAAUUUUCAACCUUUAUGCAUGCAAAUGCGAGACCUCUUACGUAUAAUAAAAUUAAUAUACUUCCCAAGAUGGUCUUAUCUUGCGUUGACUUUUUACGUUCCUUUGGUGAUGAUUUUGACGUUUGAAAUUGAUGACUAAUUGACUAUUGUUUUUGUAAACUCUGACAUGGAUUUUUCGUGCAACUACAGAGCGCAUUAACGAGAGACUUAUCCAUGAGGGUCCAUGCAGAUCAGUGUCUAAUUAACCAAUAAUUAAUAUAACUAAAAAAAUAUAGAGUUAACUAUUUUUAUGGGUCAGGCUCAAUUGCAGAUGUUCGUACAAAAUUUCUUGCUAAUGUAUACUUGAGUAUGAUAAUAAGUUUUAAUCAUUAUUAAUAAUUCACUUGAUAAUAUUAAACAAAUUUUCAUAUCAAUUAAGUUACAAAAUUUCUGUGACAAAUUUCCGCGUACUGGAACCAUGCAAAAGGGCUUUAUUCAAACAAAACUGCAUAGCCGUUGGCAAUUAAAAUUAUUUAUCAAUUAAGUUAAGUAGUAAGAAUUGGAUUGUGGAUUCCAUUAAUUAUUUCAAGGAAAAUUUUAUAGAUAAUGCCGUAAUGAAAUUUACGGCAUCAAUACCAUGAUAAAUAUAAAUAUUGUAAAUUACAAAUAGAAUUAGUAAAUGUAAAGUAAAACCAGUAAAUUCAUAAAAGAUUAUUAAUUAUUUAAAAAAUUAACAUUGUUUCUACAUAAUUUUAGUGAAAAAUAUUUUAUUCAUUUACAAAAACAUUUCUUUAAUUAAACAAAAAAAUUCAUUAAUUAAGCAAAAAAAAUUAUACUGAAAAAAAAGUGGAAUAAGUUUAAUUGAAUUGGUUAUCAUAAAUUCUAUAUUUAGUCUAGGACAUUUUUUAUACAUUUUCUUCCCAUUUUCGAUAAUGAUAUCUAUUUGUUACACAUGUUAAUUAAGUGCAAUUAUUUAUCUUGAUGUGGAUCAAGUAAAAAAAUAUCAUAAAUAAGAUAUCAAUAAAAUUAGAUCUAAUUUUGAAUAUUAUGUAUACUUUAUGUAGUUUCAAACUUUUUACUUGUAUUUGGAGACCAUUUAAGGUUGUUGUUGAAGAAGUGUAGAAAGAUGUAAAAUAACUUCAUCUUACAACAACUAUGAAAGAUAUUAAAAUAAUAAUUUUUUUCAAAAUCCGAUUUUGAGAAAAAAAUUCAUCCUUAAUUAAACAUCACAUGUAUUAUAGAAAUGCAAAACUACCAUUGUUAUAUUUAACUUAAAAAAUAAUAAAUAUAUAAGGUAAUAAACAUUAUAAAGAGUUUUUAUUUUAAAAUUGUAAACUUUUGUUCUGACAAUAACUCUUAUAUUAAUUUAUUUAUUUUGCCUUUUAUUCAUAAGUUUUAUGCAUAAUUUACAAACUUUAAGUUUUAUUUUGCAUUUUAUGUUGAUUUGGUUUUUUUAUAUUAUACGUACAAGUUUUCUUUUUAUUUACCAGUAAUACAUCAAUUUAUCAGCUUGAUAGUAAUUUACUUAUUUUACCUUCCUUUUACAAUUCUUAUGUUUCAUUUCCAAAAUUUAUGUUUUAUUUUACAGUUGUUGAUGAUUUACUAGUUUUAUGUUAUGUUUGCAAGUUUUUGUUUUGUUUACUAGUAAUAGAUUAAUGGGUAAUUUUUAAUUGAGUCCUCAUUAGUUCUAGAAAAACAAUUCAGAGACCAGAAGUUUACUAAAUGAAUCAAUUAAAUUCUUUCAAGUACAAACUAAUGUCAUUCAAGUCCUUAACUUAAUUGGUCAGUUAAAAAUAUUAACAACGUUGAGGACAUUUUAGUAAAACAACAAUUGAGUCGUUUCUCAUUCUUUAUUUUUGACAGGUGGAAAUAGUUUAAAGUAAACUCACUUAACCUGAUUAAGUUAAGGAUCAGUUCUUUCAAAUGAAAAAAAAAAAAAAAACCUACAGAAACUGCCAUAUUCUUCGUGUGGGAGGAGAGAUCGAGAGAACGUGGGAUGGUGCAAAAAAUGUUGUAUAAAUCUACUGUGAUUUUGACCAAAGCUUUGGUAGCAUUGAUUGAGUUCAAGUACUGGAGAGAACCUGAGUUUAAAGGUUAGUAACUCUAUUUUUUUAGUGAUUUCUGCAAGCAUUUUCUGAUAAAAAAUUUUCCGUAUUGAGUGAUCGUUGUGAAAAAUUAAGUUUUUCAAGUCUAUUUUACAAAAUGACAAACUAUGUUUAAUUAUUGGUGGAUUCUUUUUUUGUUCAAUGUUGUAUUUUGUUAAUUUGUUGUUUUUAAUUUGCUCUUAAUGUAAUUGUUAGACCAAAUACACCAUUAUUAUACCUGUAUUCAUUUCAACAAUUUGGUAUCGUUAUAUUAAUAAGAUUGAAUUCAUUGUAUUUGCUUCUUUGUUCAUGUAAAAUUGAAUUCUAUGUAUUCUUAUGAGUGAUAAUUUUUCUAUCUAUUAGACUAAAUUCACUAUAUUCACUACUUUCUUUCUUUUUGCUGGGCUAUUUUUUCUUUUUAGUUUAUAUUUUUUAUAUGUAUUAGAUUGAAUUUGCUUUUGUACGUUUUUUUAGCCGAAUUACAUGUAUAUUUCAUUUAGGUUGAGUUUUUUUUGUUGUUUGCUAAAUAAAAUUAUAUUGGUUUAUCCCUUUUUAUGCAAUACUUUUUGUUUAAAAUUAAUACAGUUAGCCAUGUUACCUUUUUUUUCGGUUAAAAUUAAUGGGGUGAUGUAGGCGAUAGGAUAUAGGGAACCAGAGGAAUAUAAGAUUAUUAGGCUGUUUCUUGAAAUUCAAGAUGUCAUGGUUAAGCAUGGACACAGUGAAAUGGAUUUGAUUGAAAUUUUUGUUGUAUUGCCAUGGACUACAAGUGGCCAGAGGAAGCUAAUUUCAAACGAUAGUGAAUUGUAUUGGGUUUUCGAGGAGUUUUUUUUAAUCAAUAGUUGUCCUGUCAUUGAGUUUGAGGUGCACACUGGGUCAGGUGGUCAGUCAUUUCAUGAAAGUGUUGUAAUAGGACCUGAAAAUCCUGUCAAUAUUAAAAAUUAGUGUUGUAAUAGUGAUAAGUUUGAAAAUGUUGUGGCUAAAAAGGUCUGCCUAGAAUAAUUGGUACUUCUUUAUUUGCCUCAAAGUCCAACACUAUGAAAUCCACAAGGAAAAAGAAUUUAUCCACUUUAACCAGCACGUCUUCAAUCUUGCCUUCAGGAUAAGCAUGAGAUCUGGCAGCACAUUGCAAUGUCACUGUGGUUGGUUUGACUUCUCCAACUCCCAAUUGCUUGAAUUCUGAUAAUGUCAUAAGAUUGAUGCUUGCUCCCAAACCACAAAGUGUCUUGCCACUGUAUUUAGUUCCUAUGGAACAAUGAAUUGUGAAACUUCCUGGAUCCUUCAACUUCUGAGGCAUUUUACUCUGAAGCAUAUGGCUGCAUUCUUGUGUUAGACCAACUAUUUCAAAUUCUCCGAGCCUCAUUUUCCUUGCCAAUAUACAUUUCCAAAACUUUACAUAAUUUGGCAUUUGUUCUAAUGCUUCCACAAAAGAAAUGUUGAUAUGCAGUUCUUUCCAUACUUCCAAGAAUUUACUGAACUGCAUGUCUUGCUUUCGCUUUUGAAAUCUUUGUGGGAAGGGUGGUGGAUGUGUAAAUUGUUGUACUGCAGCAGACUAUACAUAUUGCUUUUCUCUUGCUCUAUUAUGGUAUGUUAUUAUUGGUGUUGCAGCUUCUUCCUCAACAAGCAUUGAAUCAUGUUUUUUUGCAGUUGCUAUAACUUAGCAACUCUCACCAGUGUGCUGGAAAAUGGGUUGUUGUGUCUCUUCUUUAAUUUGAGUUUCCCCUUGGGUUGAAUUAGGUUCCACUCUUCUUUUUGGUACUUUAACAAGUAUAUGAACAUCCUUUCCAAACCUUAAGUUAAUCCCCUUACAAUGCUCUUUUCCUUCUCUCUUUCGAUCCUCUGUAUUGUUUAGUAAAUUGUCCUGAGGUAUGUUGCUCAAUUUUGUAGCAAGCUGUCCAAUCUUAUUCUCCAAGUUUCUUAAAAAUACAGCUUGGCUUUAGACCACUACUCCAAUCUUUACAAUAUACUCCUUAAUCAGAGUUUCAAUGGAACUAAAUUGAUCAUUACUGGUGUUUCUUUACCCUUCAAAUUUCUGGUGAAAAUCAGGUGGCUGAGCAAGUCAGUUCUGUCCACUGGAUGCUGCAGCAUGCUGAUUCUGAUUGCUCCUUUUAAAAUUUGGGUGAUGUCUCCAUCCUAGGUUAUAGGUGUUUGAAAAUGGAUUGCUUUGAUUUUGUUUAUUAAAAUUGCCCACAUAAUUGACGGAAGCUGAAUUCCUAGGACAAUUAUGAUAUAGAUGUCCCUCUCCAUAAUAAACACAAGAGACUUCAGCAAUUUGGUUAACUGUUGCCGGAGCAGUGGCCGUUGCUUUUACCAUAUUUUGUCAAUGAGGUUACUUGGGCUGAUAAUGUUGUCAGUGCAUCCACAUUGUGUACUCCUGCUGCUCCUCUCACUGUGGCUUGUCUAGUUGAUGGCCAUUGAUAGUUAUCCUUUCUAAAAUUUCAUAAGCCUCAUUAUAUGAGUUAGACAAUAAAGCCCCUAGUUAUUGAGUUCAACCCAUUGUAGAAAGUUUCCAAUUGUAUGCAAUAAGGAAUACCAUGAUGAGGGCAUCUCCUGAGUAACCCCUUGAAUCUUUCUCAUGCAUCAUACAAGCUUUCAUCUUCAAGUUGAUGGAAAGAUGUGAUCUCAUUCUUCAACUUUGCAUUCUUUGUUGGUGGGAAAUAUUUCAUCAAAAGUUUGUCAGCCAAAUAAUUCCAUGUGGUGAUGGAGUCUGGUUGCAAAGAACUCCACUGUACCAACUAAAAUUGAUUUCACAAAACACAAUAAGCACCAAUCCCCGGCAACGGCGCAAAAAACUUGUUGUCGAUUUUCUAAUGCUAUUAGUGUCAAUGUGAAAAUGUACACAACAAGUAAUAUAACGAUAAGUAUUCACUCCACAAGGAUUAUUAUUAUAGGAAUUGCUACAGUAAUUCUAUCAGUGCCAUUCUUAUUAUAAAUUAGAAUUUAAACAAAAUUAUUCAACUAAUGAACUAAGUCAGAUCUUAUUGGGGCUAGUCGGCAAUGUGUUGCUUUAGGUCGUGUGGAAUAGUUGCGGGAGUGAUCUUGCAUGAUGUGUGGAGCUAUAACAGUGCUGAGCAUGGGCCAAUCUAUGGGCUCAUGGAACUAGCGAACCUAAUCUAGAAUUUCGAGGAAGAGUACUCUGGUUAGUACUCUAAUUACCUUAUUAUAUUUUGCACAAACAGAGGCAUGUUAGUGAAAUAAUAUCUAAGCAACCCAAGAGGGGGGUGAAUUGGGUUUCUAAAAAUUAUGCAAUUCUUAAACAAAACUUAAUGCAAAUCUUAAACGAAUUUAAAGCAAUAAUACAUAAAUCAACCAAGGUAUAAAAGAUAAGGGAAGAGAGAUUAAAACACAGAGAGUUUUACGUGGUUCGGCCAACCUUGCCUACAUCCACACCCCCAAGCACACCGAGCUUGGGCAUUCCACUAGUCAAGCCUUCAAGGCUUCAAGAACACUUACAAAUUGACUUCUUAGGUGUCAAUCAACCUUUACAUCUAGAGAUUAUCCCCAAUCUCUUAACCCAAGUGUAUCCCAAUAUUUACAAUCACUCAAAAUAAAGAUUACAAAUUUAUUUUUUCUCUCACACAAUUUUUUAAGAUUACAAAUCAACGCUUAAUGUGUGAAUAAAUGAACAAGAAUGAAUUUGAAGCUCAAUGAAUGUUGUAUUCUCGAUUAUAAGCUCAAUGAUAACGUUGUGAUAAGCUCUUGUUUUGAAUUUGAUUGAUCUUAUUUAUAGUUGGAGUUGAAAAAUAGCCAUUGUUGACUUUUUCCCGAAAUUGGAUCGCCGUUAACCGUUAUCGGUUAACCGUUUUGACUGGUCCAAGUGACCGUUGAGCUGAAUUUCAAAUAAACGGUUGAUCUUUUGACACUAUCGGUUUGCUGUUAAUUUCCAUAACCUGUAAAACAAAUUUAUGCUAUUCGUUCUUGCUAAACGGUUGAAGGUCAGCAUGGAAUGACAUUCUAGAAAUUAUUGGUUGGCCGUUUGAAGUUCACGGUUCACCGUUUACUUCUAGAAUCACAGUUUUAACCAAAUUUCGCAGGGAAUGCUUUUUCGGUUAAAGUUAACGAUUAUCCAUAUUUCAUGAACACAUUUAGAAAAAUCAUACGACUUUUGAGAAAUUGUUUAGUAAUGAAAACUCUAACAUUUUAAUCAAAUACAUUUAAAGUUUGUUAUCAUCAAAAUCAAUAUAAUGAACAUCUACAUGUUAACAGUUAGGCCUUGAUUAUUUUUUAAAUCUUAUAAGAUAUAGAGUGAUAAUAGUAACUCAUUUUCAUAAAACGUGGAAGAUCAGUCGCCAAAUUUAUAGAUGCCAUAGAAAAUCUAGAUUUUAGUAAGGAAUAUCAAGUUAUUUAUACAAUGAAAAUUGUUAAAACUCGAUUAAUUGCAAGGAAACACUUUUAGAGAGAUAUGGAGAGAAUAAACUUUGAAGAUAACAAUGAAAUACAUGAACACAUUUAAGGAAGAAAAUAUAAUAGUAUUAAUAGAAUCUAUUUUAACCGGUCUUAAGAUAAUUCAAGAUUGAUGCAAAAUAAAUAACAGGACUCUAAAACCGUCCAUAAUAAGUCUAUUGAUUAAUAAUAACAAUAAUAGUGAUGUGAAAUUUUUUAUUCAGAAUGCUCAAUUUAGAUUAUAAUAUCUAUGUGAAAGCAUUGAUGCAUGUACCUUGGUUAGGAAAUAGAUUGGACACAUGGAUAUAUAUGUUGGAAGAACAAAUCUAGUUUAUAUCUCAAGAGAGAUAAUAAAUUAUAAAUGACGGUGCUAUAGUAUAUUCAGAUUUUAUAAAUCUUUAUAAAUUUAAUAAUCAUUUAGAUCUUCAUAUAUUAUAAUAAAAACUUUAAAAAACUUUAAAAAUAUAUGUAGAAGAGAUGGAAGAAGAAAUCAUCCAAUUAUUCAAAAUCAAUUAAACAAAAAUAGAAGGUAAAAUCCUUGAAUUAUAUAAAUUAUACAAUUUCACAGAAAUUUUGCAUAUAUUGCGAAACGGUCCUUGUGCACUAAUUAUGGGACUAGUGUAGCAUAAAUACUAAUAUUGCUUUUUAUUUUUGUAAAUUAAUUGUUGCGUCAUAAUUUUUUACAUACACAUUUUAUGUUUUAAAAUAUGAUUUUUUUUUUGUAUUUAGGGUUAAUUUUACAAUUUCAUACUUUGUUCAAUUAUAUGUACAGGUCCUUCACGUGUUGGUUGAUGUUGAAUAUUCAAAGAUCCACAAGCUAUCAACGACAACGAAUCAAAUUAAACUAAUUAGUUAAUACAUAAUGACCUGGGUUGUUUCCUAUGUUGUUAAUGAUGUAGAACGUUAUUUUAGGAUUUUAGAAUUUUAAUUUUUAGGUCUUCUGAUAUUUUCUUUUUUAAUUAAAGUUAGUGUUUAGUUUUUUAUUUAUUUAUGUUAUAAUUAUAAUUUACUUUCUCUUUUUAAGUUAACUUAGGAAAUAUAUUUACUGUAUUAUAAAUAAAGAGAUCUUGUUAUUACUUUAUAACUUCAACUUCAGUUAUUCAAUUAAAAACCCUCUUUUAUAAUUUCCUUUUGUAUUAUCUAUUAAAAACCCCUCUUUUUAAAGUUGUUUGAUUAGAGCAUCAUCUAGCCUUGCUUAAAGCAGUAUAAAAAAUCCCUUUGAGUUUAAUCACACGUCGAUUAGAGCGUAACUUAAUCGCAUUGACUUGGUCCAUGACUUGAACGAUAUCUAGUGUUUUGCUUCCGCUAUGCCCAAGGAGAAAAUUAAUUUUCACCGUGAGAUAAGAGCAUUAAAGGAAUUCAUAAGAAAUUUAAUUAAAGCUAUAUAUGUUAAAUAUAUCGCUAGCUACUUGUUUUUGGAGGAAUUAAAACAAUUAAUAAGCUGCGAAGUGAAAAUGAAUAAAUAAAUGAAAUGAGGUUGAAAAUAAGUCUCGCCGCCUGGAUCCAAGGCCAAAACAUUCAUGAUAAGUUAGGUAAUUAAGUACAUGUUUCAAGCUCUUCAUGAAGAAUAACGUUAUUGAAAUAAAUCACAAAGACUCCCUGCGCAAAUUAUUACAUUGAUUAAAAAAAAAAGCCAUAUCUUUAACAGGAUCGUGACUCUCGGACUGUUAAUUACUUUAUUCCUGCUUGGCCAACAGCUGGCCACUAAACAAAAUCAUAAAAAUUUUUAAAUUUAGUCAAAUUGGUCCACUUGAUGACAUCCUUUUCAUACAUAAAAUUGUUAACGUCAAGGUUAAAUAUAGAAGUUUGGUAGAGAAGGUAAAAAGAAGUCUAUAUAAGGAGGGGAACGAGCUUUGUUAUAGCACAAGUGAAACUCCACUUUAUUGAACGAUGGGGUCUCAAAUGGGCUGCCUCUUUGCCACUCUUUGGUAGUAUCAGUCUCUCUUAGCUACUUGCCGUUAGAAGCCUCCGCAAACAAAUACUACUACACAUCUCCUCCCCCUCCAAGUACAAGUCUCCACCACCACCCCCGCCACCGGUUCACAAUUCUCACCACCACCCCCGUUUUACCUGCCCCCCGCCACCUCCUCCACCAGUCUACGUGCCUGCUCCGGCACCAACUCCAAUUUUCCCUUCUCCCACCUCCUGUCCCCAAGUCCCCACCACCACCUCACCCUUACGUCUAUGCAUCUCCCCUCCUCCUUACUACUACUAGAAAGCGGCCAUGAAUAGCUCAUGCUUUUAUGGUAAUCUCAUUUAUUUUUAAAACUGUACAUGUAAAGACUAGUAGUUCAGAAUUACAUUAAGCAUUUCAAUUUUAAGCACCGUGUUCUGUUUAAUUGCGUUCCUAUUGAUUAAGUGACAAAUAAAAAGAGAUUGAUUAAUUUGUUCUUGUAGGAGAGGCGAAUGGUUAUCCGAAUAAAGAAGCAAGGGUUUGAUGGAAGGCUUACUUGGAGCAAGAUAGCGAUCAAUCGAGUUGCUGCGUUUUAUUCUCUUUAUCUUUGUUUUUUAAGAAAAAAUAAACUGCCACACGUAGAAACAGAAAAUUAAGUUCUUGUCAUUUUCAUGCAUAUGGAUUGUUGCUGUGUGUGUCAAUCAAAUCUCCGUUGUGUCAUUUGUAAUUUUCAACCUUUAUGCAUGCAAAUGCGAGACCUCUUACGUAUAAUAAAAUUAAUAUACUUCCCAAGAUGGUCUUAUCUUGCG